This is a long non-coding RNA of Dromiciops gliroides (monito del monte), 410 nucleotides long. RefSeq lists it as uncharacterized. Lineage: Eukaryota; Metazoa; Chordata; Mammalia; Microbiotheria; Microbiotheriidae. The record is from RefSeq and is a predicted model, not a curated record. The transcript has 4 exons.
CUUUGGGCAAGUCACUUAACUUCUCUCUCUGGCCUUGGUGUAAAAUGAGAGGUUUAUACUCUACAAUCUCCAGGAUCUCAUCCAAGUCUAAGUCUAUGGUCAGGGAUGGUUGUCUGAAGUGUCAUGAAGCCAAUAACAGAAAAUGAUGUGUGCUGCAGUCUGAGAAUUGCUAAAGCAUUUAAUCAUUACUCACCUGAAUUCAUUCUGCUGAUUCCUGAUACUGACCCCGAAGACUUUCCAGAGAGACUAGAACCAGACCAUGAAUUAGGUGGAAGAAAAUCCUUGCCUGGAUUUGGAAAUCAGUCCUGGUGAGGGAAGGGCUGAAGUCAAGGUCAUCCAAGUCAUCCCAAUCAUCAGAAUCCUUUGUUGACCUGGAAACAGGGCCCCACCUUCUCCUAUUCUUUGGUUUA